This is a non-coding RNA of Capsicum annuum, 107 nucleotides long. The record is from Rfam. Lineage: Eukaryota; Viridiplantae; Streptophyta; Magnoliopsida; Solanales; Solanaceae.
UAAUAAUGGUGAGGACAAUCUCAGGGCAUAAACUUAAAUCUUUCCCAAUCUUAGUACAAAUUUUCUCCAUCUUUCUUCCUGAAACUUAGAAUUUCGCUUCUCAAUCA